RNAcentral lists this ribosomal RNA (490 nucleotides) under uncultured bacterium. RNAcentral's name for it is "partial 16S ribosomal RNA". It matches the Rfam family "Bacterial small subunit ribosomal RNA", at positions 28 to 507 of the family's 1533-position model. The record is from RNAcentral.
GAUGAACGCUAGCUACAGGCUUAACACAUGCAAGUCGCGGGGCAGCAUGGGGGUUGCUUGCAAUCCCCGAUGGCGACCGGCGCACGGGUGAGUAACGCGUAUCCAACCUGCCCUUCACCACGGGAUAACCCGGCGAAAGUCGGACUAAUACCGUAUGUUGUCCAUUGACGGCAUCCGAUUUGGACGAAAGGUUUGGCGGUGAAGGACGGGGAUGCGUCCGAUUAGCUGGACGGCGGGGUGACGGCCCACCGUGGCGACGAUCGGUAGGGGUUCUGAGAGGAAGGUCCCCCACACUGGAACUGAGACACGGUCCAGACUCCUACGGGAGGCAGCAGUGAGGAAUAUUGGUCAAUGGGCGUAAGCCUGAACCAGCCAAGUAGCGUGCAGGAUGACGGCCCUAUGGGUUGUAAACUGCUUUUAUGCGGGGAUAAAGUGGCCCACGUGUGGGUUUUUGCAGGUACCGCAUGAAUAAGGACCGGCUAAUUCCGUG